Molecule: ribosomal RNA, 253 nt
Filed under: uncultured bacterium
Lineage: Bacteria
Description: partial 16S ribosomal RNA
Rfam family: Bacterial small subunit ribosomal RNA
Source: RNAcentral
UACGAAGGGGGCUAGCGUUGCUCGGAAUUACUGGGCGUAAAGCGCGUGUAGGCGGGUCGGCAAGUCAGGCGUGAAAUCCCCAGGCUCAACCUGGGAACUGCGCUUGAAACUGCCGGUCUUGAGUAUCGGAGAGGGUGGCGGAAUUCCUGGUGUAGAGGUGAAAUGCGCAGAUAUCAGGAGGAACACCGGUGGCGAAGGCGGAUCUCUGGGCCGAUACUGACGCUGAGGAGCGAAAGCGUGGGGAGCGAACAGG